RNAcentral lists this ribosomal RNA (411 nucleotides) under uncultured soil bacterium. RNAcentral describes it as "bacterial SSU rRNA". It matches the Rfam family "Bacterial small subunit ribosomal RNA", at positions 26 to 463 of the family's 1533-position model. The record is from RNAcentral.
AGAACGAACGCUGGCGGCAUGCCUAACACAUGCAAGUCGAACGGGACCUUCGGGUCUAGUGGCGCACGGGUGCGUAACGCGUGGGAAUCUGCCCUUAGGUACGGAAUAACUCAGGGAAACUUGAGCUAAUACCGUAUAAUGACUUCGGUCCAAAGAUUUAUCGCCUAAGGAUGAGCCCGCGUAGGAUUAGCUUGUUGGUGAGGUAAAGCUCACCAAGGCGACGAUCCUUAGCUGGUCUGAGAGGAUGAUCAGCCACACUGGGACUGAGACACGGCCCAGACCUCCUACGGGAGCAGCAGGUGGGGAAUAUUGGACAAGUGGGACGAAAGCCUGACUCCAGCAAGUCGCCGCGUGAGUGAUGAAGCGUUAGGUGUAAGUCUUCGUUUACCGGAUCGAUAUGACAGGUACGGA